GCCGAAGUGGCGAAAUUGGUAGACGCGCACGCUUCAGGAGCGUGUGGAGCAAUCCUUGGAGGUUCGAGUCCUCUCUUCGGCACCA
Molecule: transfer RNA, 85 nt
Filed under: Candidatus Woesebacteria bacterium
Lineage: Bacteria; Candidatus Woeseibacteriota
Description: tRNA-Leu
Rfam family: tRNA
About the family: Transfer RNA (tRNA) molecules are approximately 80 nucleotides in length.
Source: RNAcentral